RNAcentral lists this ribosomal RNA (74 nucleotides) under Dermacoccus sp. NHGro5. RNAcentral describes it as "partial 16S ribosomal RNA". It matches the Rfam family "Bacterial small subunit ribosomal RNA", at positions 1 to 74 of the family's 1533-position model. The record is from RNAcentral. Lineage: Bacteria; Bacillati; Actinomycetota; Actinomycetes; Micrococcales; Dermacoccaceae.
UCUACGGAGAGUUUGAUCCUGGCUCAGGACGAACGCUGGCGGCGUGCUUAACACAUGCAAGUCGAACGAUGAAG